GUACUUACUUCAGCAGCACAUACACUAAAAUCUGGAAUGAUACAGAGAAGACUGGCAAAGGGCCUACACAAAGAUGACAUGCAAAUUCAUGAAGUGUUCUAUAUCAUU
Cebus imitator (Panamanian white-faced capuchin) is the source of this 108-nucleotide small nuclear RNA. The record is from RefSeq and is a predicted model, not a curated record. NCBI's taxonomy places the organism in Eukaryota, Metazoa, Chordata, Mammalia, Primates, Cebidae.